RNAcentral lists this ribosomal RNA (466 nucleotides) under uncultured bacterium. Its description in RNAcentral is "partial 16S ribosomal RNA". It matches the Rfam family "Bacterial small subunit ribosomal RNA", at positions 30 to 506 of the family's 1533-position model. The record is from RNAcentral.
GCGAACGCUGGCGGCGUGCUUAACACAUGCAAGUCGAACGGAAAGGCCCUGCUUUUGUGGGGUGCUCGAGUGGCGAACGGGUGAGUAACACGUGAGUAACCUGCCCUUGACUUUGGGAUAACUUCAGGAAACUGGGGCUAAUACCGGAUAGGAGCUCCUGCUGCAUGGUGGGGGUUGGAAAGUUUCGGCGGUUGGGGAUGGACUCGCGGCUUAUCAGCUUGUUGGUGGGGUAGUGGCUUACCAAGGCUUUGACGGGUAGCCGGCCUGAGAGGGUGACCGGCCACAUUGGGACUGAGAUACGGCCCAGACUCCUACGGGAGGCAGCAGUGGGGAAUAUUGCACAAUGGGCGGAAGCCUGAUGCAGCAACGCCGCGUGCGGGAUGACGGCCUUCGGGUUGUAAACCGCUUUCGCCUGUGACGAAGCGUGAGUGACGGUAAUGGGUAAAGAAGCACCGGCUAACUACGU